Non-coding RNA from Oncorhynchus mykiss (rainbow trout), 123 nucleotides. The record is from RefSeq and is a predicted model, not a curated record. Lineage: Eukaryota; Metazoa; Chordata; Actinopteri; Salmoniformes; Salmonidae.
GUCUGUUGAUCUAGGGUUACGGGUGUUAGGGUUACGGGGGUUAGGGUUUGAAUAUAAUUGUGUUUUGUUUCAACUGGUUAGGGUUAGGUUUCUAGUUUUGAGUCUGUUGAUCCAGGGUUAGGG